Canis lupus familiaris (dog) is the source of this 503-nucleotide long non-coding RNA. RefSeq lists it as uncharacterized. The record is from RefSeq and is a predicted model, not a curated record. Lineage: Eukaryota; Metazoa; Chordata; Mammalia; Carnivora; Canidae. The transcript has 2 exons.
UUCCAGAAACCCGCGAGUCUUCUCCGGGUCACAGGUUUAUCCCGGCCCAGUUCUUCCUUUUCUCCGUGGCCUUUCUCUUCCUCCAGGAGGAGCGAAGACCCCUGAUUUAUGAUCUUCACGGAAUGACGACUGCAUUCUGUUCAAUGUGAACUCCACCGCCGUGCAACAGUGUAUGACAAAGCGCGUGGGCUGGUGCGUUCUCGGGGUGAACACACUCAUGAAGCGAGCACCCAGAGAGAGCAGAGGAGGGCCCCACCCCUCCCCUGACUCCCAACGCCACGGGUGAAUUUUGCCUGGCUUGGAACCUCACAGGAGAGGGUACCAACUGAUUUACGCAGCACAUAAUCUCUUGUCUGGAUUCCUUGACUCAGUAUCAUGUUGCUACACCUGGUGACUGGGUGGCAGGCACUGAGGGGGGAACUAGACGGGAUGAGUGAGCACCGGGUGUCGUACUGCGUGUCGGCAAAUUGAGCUCCAAUAAAAAAAUAUCCAAUAAAAAAACA